AACGAACGCUGGCGGCGUGGAUAAGACAUGCAAGUCGAACGAUGAUUGCAGGGUAGCAAUAUUUUGCAGUCAGAGUGGCGUAAGGGUGCGUAACACGUGGGUUAUUUGCCCUGAAGUGGGGGAUAACUCCGAGAAAUCGGAGCUAAUACCGCAUGUGAUCGAAAGAUCAAAGCUGGGUCGCAAGACCUGGCGCUUCAGGAUAAGCCCGCGACCUAUCAGCUAGUUGGCAGGGUAACGGCCUACCAAGGCAAAGACGGGUAGCUGGUCUGAGAGGACGACCAGCCACACUGGAACUGAGACACGGUCCAGACACCUACGGGAGGCUG
Molecule: ribosomal RNA, 326 nt
Filed under: uncultured Verrucomicrobiota bacterium
Lineage: Bacteria; Pseudomonadati; Verrucomicrobiota
Description: bacterial SSU rRNA
Rfam family: Bacterial small subunit ribosomal RNA
Source: RNAcentral